This 74-nucleotide transfer RNA is filed under the name Podarcis lilfordi (Lilford's wall lizard). RNAcentral's name for it is "tRNA.Ile". The stretch from base 8 to 66 matches the Rfam family "tRNA", at positions 8 to 63 of the family's 71-position model. Rfam says of the family: Transfer RNA (tRNA) molecules are approximately 80 nucleotides in length. Their secondary structure includes four short double-helical elements and three loops (D, anti-codon, and T loops). Further hydrogen bonds mediate the characteristic L-shaped molecular structure. tRNAs have two regions of fundamental functional importance: the anti-codon, which is responsible for specific mRNA codon recognition, and the 3' end, to which the tRNAs corresponding amino acid is attached (by aminoacyl-tRNA synthetases). tRNAs cope with the degeneracy of the genetic code in two manners: having more than one tRNA (with a specific anti-codon) for a particular amino acid; and 'wobble' base-pairing, i.e. permitting non-standard base-pairing at the 3rd anti-codon position. The record is from RNAcentral. Lineage: Eukaryota; Metazoa; Chordata; Lepidosauria; Squamata; Lacertidae.
GCUUGGAUAGCUCAGUUGGUUGGAGCGUGGUGCUGAUAAUGCCAAUGUUACAGGUUCGAUCCUUGUAUGGGACA